RNAcentral lists this ribosomal RNA (467 nucleotides) under uncultured bacterium. Its description in RNAcentral is "bacterial SSU rRNA". It matches the Rfam family "Bacterial small subunit ribosomal RNA", at positions 339 to 796 of the family's 1533-position model. The record is from RNAcentral.
UUACGGGAGGCAGCAGUGAGGAAUCUUCCGCAAUGGGCGAAAGCCUGACGGAGCAAUGCCGCGUGAACGAUGAAGGCCUUCGGGUCGUAAAGUUCUGUUGUGGGGGAAGAAAUCCUCUAGUUAUAACACAGCUAGAGGUUUGACGGUACUCCACGAGGAAGCCCCGGCUAAUUACGUGCCAGCAGCCGCGGUAAUACGUAAGGGGCAAGCGUUGUCCGGAAUCACUGGGCGUAAAGCGCACGUAGGCGGUUUGUCAAGUUGGGGGUGUAAGCUCUGGGCCUAACCCAGAAAUUGCCUCCAAAACUAGCAUACUUGAGUAUUAGAGGGGAAGCUGGAAUUCACGGUGUAGCGGUGAAAUGCGUAGAUAUCGUGGAGAACACCCGUGGCGAAGGCGGGCUUCUGGCUAAUUACUGACGCUGAGGUGCGAAAGCUAGGGGAGCGAACGGGAUUAGAUACCCUGGUAGUCC